This 582-nucleotide long non-coding RNA is filed under the name Callithrix jacchus (white-tufted-ear marmoset). Its description in RNAcentral is "lncRNA (ENSCJAG00000084510.1)". Lineage: Eukaryota; Metazoa; Chordata; Mammalia; Primates; Cebidae. The record is from RNAcentral.
AAGUGCUCCUUGCCUGCCUCUAUGAUUCUGAAGUCUCCCCAACCAUGUGAAACUGAAAUACCUUUCACUUCCCACCAUGAUUCUGAGGCCUCCCCAGCCAUAUGGAACUAUACUAAGUACAACAGCCUAUGAGGAUUAUCAUCUUUUCUUAUUAAUAAGUGUCCUUCACACUUUAAAAGAUGAAGAAUCAGAGCACUAGUCAUGCUCUUUGCUCAGCCACAUCUGGCACUUUUCUCUGGACUUUUUCGCUAUUCACAGACGCUAAAAGAUGGAGUGCUUUGUGGAGAACACUAUCAGCAAUGUAUUAAGCCCUGAGGAAUGGAUUUCUAGAAAGGAGAAAUGAGUAUCUUCCUGGUAAGUUUAAUAACUUGUAGCAGCAUCAUACUAAUUUUAUCUUAUUUGUAAUAUUUUUGUAUGAACGUUGUAUGCAUUUAUUUUGUGGCUAUUUGAAUGGCUGUAUUUGCUAAAUAACUCUUUGUAAGCCUUUGUUCUGGAAGAGCUUCCCAGACUUUUUGGCGCAUGAACUCCUCUAGUGUUGCUGCUAUCACUAAUGAUUGUUGCCAUGUCUUCUCUACUUUUCCU